AAAGAGAGACACACACGGAGCCGGAUUCAGGCUGAGAGAGGCAGAGACCAGAGCAGGGUGGGAUCAACUCCGCAGCGCCAUUCACAUGCCAGAGCUCCCCGUGGGGUCAGGCUGAAGCUGGACGCCGCUGAGACACAUCCUAGCUUAGCCCUGGCCCAGGCCCUGCCCUGCAUCGCUCUCUCCUUUUCUCCGCAAGCAUUCCUCAGUGAGUCACCUGCAUUCCAGCCUUCGUUUCAGGCUCUGCUGGGCACCCGGGCCUGAGACACAGCCCCAGGGACGCCUCCCCGGCUCCCCUUCUGGUCUCAUCUCCAGGGAGCUCUCCUCGCAGGCCUCAUUGUGGCCGUUGUUUGACACUUGCUCAGAUGAUUAUGCGUCUGAGGUCUGUCCUCUACCCCAGAAUACAAGGCAGGGAUCAUGUCGACUGCUCCUGGCUGCGUCCCCAGUGCCCAACACAACGCUUAGCACAGUAGGUGGUCAAUAAAUACUUGUUGAAUGACUGAAUGAAUAAUGGCUGGGCAAAUUGGAGGUUGUCGGGGCUGGGCAUCACUGAGGCCCCAGGUUCUUCCCGUCUGGUGAUUCUGCCAUCUCCUCCCAGCCUAGCUCCUCAUAGCUCCAUGACAGCUGCCAAAGCUCCUGCCAUCUCUUCCUUACACAGCCAUGGCCAAGGCAAGAAAAGGCCCUCAAGUGUCCCCUUAGGAAGAAACUGCUCCCAGAAGUCCCUUGGCAGACUUCCUCACCUGCUGCCAUAGUCGCAUUCCUUGUCCAGCCUCAGCCAAUCUCUGCGAGGGGAGGCAGAGGGUGACGUUUGACUUGGGCCAAUCAGCAUUCGCCCUCAGGGUGCCGUGGGUGGAGUCUGCCCUCCCCAGUAAGAGGGGAUCCAGCUGGGGCCAGGGUUGUGGACCCCUGUGCCGGCGUUCCCGGCAUCCCUGAGGCUGUGGACCCCCACCUGCCUUCCCUCCUGGGAGGGGGGGUCUUUGGGUGGCGGCUGUGGGAAGGGAGGUGGGGCUGCGUGAGGGUUUCGAGCACAGAAGGUGGCCAGACCCCUUCACCUCAGUAAAUAUUUAUAGAGCCAGGAGCGGAGAGGAGGUAGGCGGCCGAGGGUGUGUGUGCGGAAAAGGGGCCUGGGCCAGAGAUCCGAGGGAGAGACAGAGACCCAGCGGAGAGGCCGAGAGACGCGGAGGGAAAGAGGGAGGAGGGAGACAGGGACGGGGAGAGACAGACAUUUUGCCAGGAAGGCCUUGCGUCAGUGCCUUGAACAGUCAGGCCCGUCAUGGUGGGAGUGACGUCCCUGUCCCCUUCUCUCUGGCUUGGCGUCCGCCUCUGCUGGAUGGGGUAAAUGACCCUCUUUCACGGGACUGUCCCGUGGCACCCAUCACUCUGGGAUUGUCAUUGACCCCGUGGCCUCCUUUGGCCUAUAAAUGGCCUGGAGUGGUGGUGGGAAUCGUGGCCCUGGUGACAGGGCACACGUGCUGGAGGGGUCUGAAGCUUGUGUCCCGUCCGUGCCCCACAGGGCCAGUGGGGCAGGGCCGGGGCGAGGGAGGUAUGCCGGCUGCCUGGAAACCCUAGGGGUGUGCUGGCAGUAACGACAAUUCUGCUAACAAUAAUAAUGCCCACUGUGUUCUGAGUGCCCCCAGGUGCCAGACACCAGCCACGAGGGGGGCGCUGCUUAACGCCCUGUAGCCUGUCAUUCCCAUUUUACGGGGGAGGAGACAGCCAUGGUGGCAUCCUGACAAGAGAGCCAGGGUUCAGAGUCGGACCCUGAGCCCGAGUCCCUGCUCCGCCCCUGACAGGCUGGGUGACCGGGGCCAGUCACUUCCUCUCUCUGAGCCUCAGUUUCCCCAUUUGCAAAAUAGGAAAAUGACAGUUUAAAGGUUGACAUGAGGAUUAAAUGACAUGACGUGCAGAAAGCGCUCAGCACGGGGCCAGGCACACAGCAAGUGCUCAAUAAUCGUUAAACGGUGUGCUGGGUAACAGUUUUACAGUAAUUUAAGAAUAAUUCCUUUAAUUGCUCCCGUUUUUUCAGAGGAAGAGUUGAAGUCCAGAGAGGGAAGUGACUUGCCCGAGGUCACCAGCCCAGUGGAGCAGCUGAGCUUUCAACUGGGUGGGCUCUGAGGCCAGCGCUCUCUCUGCCUGCUGUGCCACCAUCACGGCCAGGCCCGGGCUGGCCUGUUUGGGACUCAGUCCUUGUGGGUCAAGAGGAUGCCGGGGGCCUGGCCUGGCAUCAGCCAUGAUCACCCGUUGGGGCGGUUGCAACAUCCCCUCGCUCCGCCAGUCAAUAAAGGGUGCCCAUUGCAAAACUCGGCGGAGAAAUUAAGUGUUGUGUCAUCCUGCGGCCAGGCCCUGGGUGCCCCUUUCCUGCCCGGAGGCCUGGGUGGGGCCAGCUCCUCACUCUCGCCCUCCACGGCUGGCCUUGGAGAGCUGGGGUUGGGGUCAGCAGGGGGCUUCGGGGAGUGGGCAGGGUCCGGACCGCGCUCUGGGUCCACCCACGGCCAACCACUCUCAGGAGGGGCAGGUCCGUCCUCCUGGGUGCUCGGGCCCAGACGCGGGUGAGUCGACUCUUCUCUUGCCCCACAUCCAGGAAUCGGUCAGGAAGUCCUGUCGGCUCUCCCUUUAAGAUACAUCAGAAUCCAGCCAGGGUCCCCUCCACCUCCAACCAGGGGGUCAGAGCACCUUCUGCGGCCUCACGACUCCACCUUCCUCCGCUUGGCCCACUCCCCACGCGCGGCCGAGGGGCCCGUUGCUUCCAGGUGGGUCCUAAGUCGGCUCUCGGCCCUCUGCCCAGAACCCUCCAUGGCUCCCGUCUCUGAGUCUUCCCGAGGGCACAGGGCCCUGCCUGCUCCGGCCCCCGGCCUUUCCACCUGUCUCACUGUUCUCUCCCUGGCUCAUGCGUUCCCGCCACACGGGCCUCCCUGUCGCACUGGGCAGGGCUGACCUCCUUUCACUGCCCUUCUCUCGGCCUUCGGGCUCUUCCCCCAGUUCUGCCGCACAGCUGGGCCCCUUGCCUUACUCAGGUCUCAUCUCAAGGUCACCGCCUCCUGGAGGCCUUCCCUGGUUACCCUGCUAGCUGUCACCCCAGUCCUUCUUGACUUCCACCACGUGAUACAUUAUUUAUUUGUUUGUCUUUCUCCUUCCUUAGAUAGGGCCUGUUGUCUGUCUUGUUCAUGAUGACCCCCGGCGCUCAGCCUGGGCCUGGCACACAGUAGGUAUUCCACAGAGAUGUGCUGAAUCCGUGAAGGGGUGGCAGGAGGGGUGACAUUGGUGCAGAUCGCGCCUCCGUGAAUCGCAAGCCCCCUUCUCCGGCUGGUGGCGUGCGGACGGUGCUAUGGGCACACUCCGCGGCCUGCAGGUCGCAGCUGGGGGGGUCCUCCUGGCUGCCCUGUCGAGUGGCCCAUGCUGCCCAGCUCCCUGACGCGCUCACCCGGCGCUGGGCUGCUGUGUUCCCCUGCUUCUCAUCAGCCUCCUCCCCAGACCCGGAGCCCUCUGAGGACCGGCCCUCAUCUGCCUCGGUUCCACUGCUGUCCCUGGUGCCCAGCAUGGGGCCUGGCACCCUGUGCAGGUAUUGGAGGCUGGCUGAUCAAGCUUUGUGUCACAUGCCCAUUUGCAGGGCCAGUUGUGGCCAGGAGGGAGGUACCAGGAGACGCUGCGCCCGGCCCUGAGGCCUGCGGAGUCAGGGCGAGAAAGGGGCCGCUGGGCCCUGAGCGUGAGGACCCGGGGUCAUCCUGGGCUCACACCGAGUCCUAAUCUGAUCUCCUGUCUGGGCCACUCACAGCAGAUCCAUUCACCAGCCGCAGUGUGCUAACUCACUCCGGACCUAUCUCCACGCUCCACCUCGAUGCUUAUCGGCUUCCUUAAUUAAGUGAAGGCGCAGCGCGGCAGGCGAUGCCCGCAGCCUGCAGGCGAGUCGGCCCGGCCCCCUAAGCCGGGAUAAUAGCUGCUCCCACGCGGGCUGAGGCCUGCGCCGCCAGCUCCUUCCUGCCCUGUUCCAGGCCUGGGCGGGACAGGCCUGCUGAGACCUAGGGAGCCACAAACGCUCACCACCGAGGCCUUAAACCGGCGGUGGCGCAUGGGCCAGGUUGGCCUCCAGGUGCGUUGGGUUUGGCCCAUGUGGUUCUUUUGCUGAAAGUCAAAAUGAGCUGCCAACACUGAAAAAUUAGGACACUGUCUGCAAACAUCCGGAUCUCUGGAAGAUGUGGGGACUCUGGGCUCACAGGUGCUGUGUGCUGGAGCUGAGGAGUGGCUGUCCCCACACAGGGGACAUGGCGUCAGUCGCCCCCCCCAUUUCACGUUGUGUCCCUACCUGGCUCACGUGGGCAGUUGAAGGUGCCACCUCCGCUCUAGGAUUAGAGGUCAGUUGCCAUUUGCAAGAAGGGACACGGAGGCUCAGAAAAGGCAAGUGACUCAACCGAUGAUGCACAGUAAGCCUGGAGCUCAGGUCACCGUCAGCGGGCACGUCCUUCCUGAGCACCCACCGUGUGCCAGGCACUGGGGACACAGAGGGACCAUCACAGAGCCAGCCUUCUGGGGGUGACGGUCUUCUGCCCCACAGCUGUAUUGUCCCCUUUAUCGCUGGGUGACAGUGUCUGUUGAGACAGGUCCUUUCUUAUCCCCGUGAGGCAGCUGCAAGUAGGUUCCCCACCGCGGCUGGGCCCGUCCCAGGACAGGGGCACAGCCAUCGUGGAAGGAAGCCCCUGGCAAGCGUGCCUGCCCCCGGGGCCCCCGCUCUGCGCCCUGGGCCCUCUGAGAGCAGGGGGGCGAGCAGCGUCUGGUGGGAGGAGUGAGGAGGGUGGGAGCGGGGUGGGGACGGGGACGUGAGCAGAGGGGGCAGUGGUGUCAGCUAGACAGAGCGCGAGGACGGCUCCAUCCUGGGUGAACCAAAGGUGAAUCAGGAAGGCUUCUCCCACUGCCCUCUGAAGGCAAGGCGUGGAGGGGCGAGCCGCAGACCUGUCCCAGGUCCCCACCGACGAGUCUAGGAAAAAGCCAUUUGUGCACCUGGCUUGGGAGAACGCCCCGCCCCUCCUGCAGCGCAGCCCCUGGUCAGGGGAGGAACUGUGGCCUGGAGCCCCCGGGCCCUCAGCCCUGGACCCGGCCUGGGUCCCCAUGGACGCCAAGGCCGUCAGGGCUCCUGCAGACCUGCCCGCCUGCCAGGAGCCACCGCUGAACAGCACGAAGCAGCCUGGCCCCGUGGCCGGCUCCCCACUGACGCGGGCGUGAAUAACAGUCCCGGCGGUCAUGUGCGUUUGCUAAAAAUAACCUUGACAUACUUUUGCGUUGGGAAACAAUGUGGAUUCCAAACAUUCUCAAAGGGCAGAGAGGGGAAAAAAAUGAAGAAUGGAAAUCAAGUUUUCGAGCUUAGUAAUUAAUUAGCCUGUAAACAAAUGACUCACGCUCUUUCCUGGCUAUUUUUCUUUCCGUUCUGCGUGGAUUUUCGCAGGGGCCCGGAGAAGGAGGCCGAGUGAGCCAGCCGAGCGGAUAGGCUGGACGGGGCCCAGAUGCGUCUCCCCGGGACGAGGAGGGGGACUGUCCCGAGGACGAGUUGGCCAGCUGGAGAGUGCGAGGAACAGCUUCAGGUGGAGGCAACAGCAGGGACGGUGGCCCUGAGAACUGGAAGAGCGUGGGGUGUUGGAGGAACAGUGAGGGUGCCUGGGCAGCUCCAGGGGAGUGGGCUGGGGGGUCAGAGAGGACCGUAGGAGCCGGACCACAUGGAGCGUGUCGGCUGUACCAAGGCAUCUACACUUGAUCCUGAAGACGGUGGGAGCCAUGGGAGGGUUUUAAGCCAAGAAGGAGCAUCAUCUGAUUUGUACAAUGAUGUCACUUAAAAAAUGGAAGAUCAGAAAAAUAAAUUCUAAAUGUUCUCUGUU
Molecule: non-coding RNA, 5858 nt
Organism: Equus caballus (horse)
Lineage: Eukaryota; Metazoa; Chordata; Mammalia; Perissodactyla; Equidae
Source: RefSeq, a predicted model, not a curated record